Molecule: ribosomal RNA, 484 nt
Filed under: uncultured bacterium
Lineage: Bacteria
Description: partial 16S ribosomal RNA
Rfam family: Bacterial small subunit ribosomal RNA
Source: RNAcentral
AGUGAACGCUGGCGGCGUGCUUAACACAUGCAAGUCGAACGAGAACGGGUUAUAGCUUGCUAUAAUUGUCAGCUAAGUGGCGCACGGGUGAGUAAUGUAUAGGUAAUAUGCCUCUUACUAAGGGAUAACAAAUGGAAACGUUUGCUAAUACCUUAUACUCCUUAUUUACAGAAGUUAAUAAGGGAAAGAUUUAUUGGUAAGAGAUUAGCCUGUAUUGUAUCAGUUAGUUGGUGGGGUAAUGGCUUACCAAGACUAUGACACAUAACUGGUUUGAGAGGAUGAUCAGUCACACUGGAACUGAGACACGGUCCAGGCUCCUACGGGAGGCAGCAGUGGGGAAUAUUGCACAAUGGACGAAAGUCUGAUGCAGCAACGCCGCGUGGAGGAUGACACAAUUCGGUGCGUAAACUCCUUUUAUAUGAGAAGAUAAUGACGGUAUUAUAUGAAUAAGCACCGGCUAACUCCGUGCCAGCAGCCGCCGUAA